UACGUAGGGUCCGAGCGUUGUCCGGAUUUAUUGGGCGUAAAGAGCUCGUAGGCGGUUCGUCGCGUCGGCUGUGAAAUCCCGAGGCUCAACCUCGGGUCUGCAGUCGAUACGGGCGGACUGGAGUUCGGCAGGGGAGACUGGAAUUCCUGGUGUAGCGGUGAAAUGCGCAGAUAUCAGGAGGAACACCGGUGGCGAAGGCGGGUCUCUGGGCCGAUACUGACGCUGAGGAGCGAAAGCGUGGGGAGCGAACAGG
RNAcentral lists this ribosomal RNA (253 nucleotides) under uncultured bacterium. RNAcentral describes it as "partial 16S ribosomal RNA". It matches the Rfam family "Bacterial small subunit ribosomal RNA", at positions 524 to 776 of the family's 1533-position model. The record is from RNAcentral.